CCCAGCACUUUGGAAGGCCGAGGCGGAUGGAUCACCUGAGGUCAGGAGUUCGAGACCAGCCUGCCCAACAUGGUGAAACCCCGUCACUACUAAAAAUACAAAAAAUUAGCUGGACGUGGUGUCGCGUGCCUGUAAUCCCAGGUACUAGGCAGGCCGAGGCAGGAGAAUUGCUUGAACCCAGCGAAGGAUGCAGUGAGCCGAGAUCGCGCCAUUGCACUCCAUACUGGGUGACAAGAGUGAAACACACAAACAAAUCAAGGAAGGAAUUAAGGGUUUUAUUGAAAAUGAAAGUACGGC
RNAcentral lists this long non-coding RNA (297 nucleotides) under Homo sapiens (human). Its description in RNAcentral is "LHRI_LNC1279.1". Lineage: Eukaryota; Metazoa; Chordata; Mammalia; Primates; Hominidae. The record is from RNAcentral.